AGAGUUUGAUCAUGGCUCAGAACGAACGCUGGCGGCAGGCCUAACACAUGCAAGUCGAACGAGAUCUUCGGAUCUAGUGGCGGACGGGUGAGUAACGCGUGGGAAUCUGCCUAGUAGUUGGGGACAACUCGGGGAAACUCGAGCUAAUACCGAAUACGCCCUACGGGGGAAAGGCUUCGGCCGCUAUUAGAUGAGCCCGCGUAAGAUUAGCUUGUUGGUGGGGUAAUGGCCUACCAAGGCAACGAUCUUUAGCUGGUCUGAGAGGACGAUCAGCCACACUGGGACUGAGACACGGCCCAGACUCCUACGGGAGGCAGCAGUGGGGAAUAUUGGACAAUGGGGGAAACCCUGAUCCAGCAAUGCCGCGUGUGUGAAGAAGGCCUGCGGGUUGUAAAGCACUUUCAGUAGGGAAGAUAAUGACGGUACCUACAAAAGAAGCACCGGCUAACUCCGUGCCAGCAGCCGCGGUAAUUC
Molecule: ribosomal RNA, 474 nt
Filed under: uncultured bacterium
Lineage: Bacteria
Description: bacterial SSU rRNA
Rfam family: Bacterial small subunit ribosomal RNA
Source: RNAcentral